CUGCGGAUUUCUCACAAGUCCCAUUUUAUGGGUUUUGGUAUCAUCAUUCAUAGUUGCCUGGGAAUGUUUUGUAGGCUUCAUCUGAAAGCAAGGAGCCAACAGAACUCAAUUUUUUUCUUUCACAGAUGGCUUUGUCAGUGUUUGUUAUUUGCCUUAUCACAGAGCUUUAGAUGUGUAUCCAGUGUAUGUGCAUCUGUGUAUCAGUUUUGGACUACUCAGAUGGUCCUCCUAAAAUCCAAGAGCCAAACAGAAAAACAAAUAGAAUUAAGAAAAUGA
This 276-nucleotide long non-coding RNA is filed under the name Cyanistes caeruleus (blue tit). RNAcentral's name for it is "lncRNA (ENSCCEG00000012055.1)". The record is from RNAcentral. Lineage: Eukaryota; Metazoa; Chordata; Aves; Passeriformes; Paridae.